Molecule: long non-coding RNA, 386 nt
Organism: Telopea speciosissima
Lineage: Eukaryota; Viridiplantae; Streptophyta; Magnoliopsida; Proteales; Proteaceae
Exons: 2
Source: RefSeq, a predicted model, not a curated record
CCUACCAGAACCAUACCCAACACCCUUCCUCCCCCAUGCGGGUGGGAAAAGAAAAAUAGACAUUCUUAGUUGUUGACCUAAAUAGUGUUUCAAAUUGUCUCGUGUCAGGAAUGCAAGGGCACCCUUGGUUUCAACCUUGCAGCAAUGGAUCAUCUGAAGCAAUUGAUGUCUUUGAAAUUCGAUGUCCUUUUCCGAGAUGCAAAGACAAAGCUACUUGAAAUCCGUUCACGACAUGCAAAACGUCUGGAAGCAAAGACUGACACAAAAGAAGAGAAGAGGAAAAAGAAGAAGCAGAAGAGUAGAGCUGGGGCCUAAUCAGACCAAAGAAAUGGCAGGACAUCAAGUUUCCAGUGUGUGCUAAGACAAUCGGAUCGACCGCGUAAUCU